UGGCAACAACAUCUCGAAAGGAAAUGCUAAUAUCGCAUACGUCNUAUGGNNNAGAAAGCAGCGGAUGUUCGGACCNUGCGCUAAUAGAUGAGCCUAAGUCGGAUUAGCUAGUUGGUGGGGUAAAGGCCUACCAAGGCGACGAUCUGUAGCGGGUCUGAGAGGAUGAUCCGCCACACUGGGACUGAGACACGGCCCAGACUCCUACGGGAGGCAGCAGUGGGGAAUAUUGGACAAUGGGGGGAACCCUGAUCCAGCCAUGCCGCGUGUGUGAAGAAGGCCUUAUGGUUGUAAAGCACUUUAAGCGAGGAGGAGGCUACUUUAGUUAAUACCUAGAGAUAGUGGACGUUACUCGCAGAAUAAGCACCGGCUAACUCUGUGCCAGCAGCCGCGGUAAUACAGAGGGUGCGAGCGUUAAUCGGAUUUACUGGGCGUAAAGCGUGCGUAGGCGGCUUAUUAAGUCGGAUGUGAAAUCCCCGAGCUUAACUUGGGAAUUGCAUUCGAUACUGGUGAGCUAGAGUAUGGGAGAGGAUGGUAGAAUUCCAGGUGUAGCGGUGAAAUGCGUAGAGAUCUGGAGGGAUACCAAUGGCGAAGGCAGCCAUCUGGCCUAAUAGUCAAGGUGAGGUACGAAAAGCAUGGGGAGGAAACAGGAUUAGAAACCCUGGUGGUNNAUGCCUUNAU
RNAcentral lists this ribosomal RNA (678 nucleotides) under Acinetobacter baumannii. Its description in RNAcentral is "bacterial SSU rRNA". It matches the Rfam family "Bacterial small subunit ribosomal RNA", at positions 139 to 806 of the family's 1533-position model. The record is from RNAcentral. Lineage: Bacteria; Pseudomonadati; Pseudomonadota; Gammaproteobacteria; Moraxellales; Moraxellaceae.